AGUGAUAGAGGCAGGAGUGGUUUUUUAUAUCAGUAGAUCGGUCAUGAACGGAAUCAGUUGUGAACAGUCAGGUUGUGCCCGUGUAAAAAUACGUGAAACCCAAUCGUGCUCACAAGACAGAAAUUCACUGCGUGGCUUAAACCAAUGAGUUAAGCCGCCUAUGCUCGACCAGAAGGCAACUUGCCUAAUAUUCUUAUAUGACUAGCAAUAUUUGUCACGACCCACAAUCGAAACCAAACCAAAUCAUCAGCAAUCGUCAAACCACCGAUAGUCGGCACAGCGAUCCCGUUAGCCUUGAGGCCGGAAGAAGGGCCAACAAUGUCACGUGUGCCACCACAGAUAAGCCGACCGGGAUCGGCAACUGCAGCCAACGGUAACCGUGAUGAGAUGAAUCGACCCCAGGAGCAAACGAAUGAUUUUUUCGGAAUCUCAGUACACACUUAAUUUAUUUCGCUGAACUACCCAACAGCUGAUCGAGCUCGGCGAAGUUUUUAACAAAUGUCAGCAAUAUAUUUCGGCAAGCAUUCAGCAAAUAUAUCGAUCUACCGUAAACCA
Molecule: long non-coding RNA, 555 nt
Organism: Wyeomyia smithii (pitcher-plant mosquito)
Lineage: Eukaryota; Metazoa; Arthropoda; Insecta; Diptera; Culicidae
Exons: 2
Source: RefSeq, a predicted model, not a curated record